RNAcentral lists this ribosomal RNA (495 nucleotides) under uncultured bacterium. Its description in RNAcentral is "partial 16S ribosomal RNA". It matches the Rfam family "Bacterial small subunit ribosomal RNA", at positions 28 to 507 of the family's 1533-position model. The record is from RNAcentral.
GACGAACGCUGGCGGCGUGCCUAAUACAUGCAAGUAGAACGCUGAAGGAGGAGCUUGCUUCUCUGGAUGAGUUGCGAACGGGUGAGUAACGCGUAGGUAACCUGCCUGGUAGCGGGGGAUAACUAUUGGAAACGAUAGCUAAUACCGCAUAAGAGUAGAUGUUGCAUGACAUUUGCUUAAAAGGUGCAAUUGCAUCACUACCAGAUGGACCUGCGUUGUAUUAGCUAGUUGGUGGGGUAACGGCUCACCAAGGCGACGAUACAUAGCCGACCUGAGAGGGGGAUCGGCCACACUGGGACUGAGACACGGCCCAGACUCCUACGGGAGGCAGCAGUAGGGAAUCUUCGGCAAUGGACGGAAGUCUGGCCGAGCAACGCCGCGUGAGUGAAGAAGGUUUUCGGAUCGUAAAGCUCUGUUGUAAGAGAAGAACGAGUGUGAGAGUGGAAAGUUCACACUGUGACGGUAUCUUACCAGAAAGGGACGGCUAACUACGUG